UAACAGACCAUGGCCACCUCAGG
RNAcentral lists this unclassified non-coding RNA (23 nucleotides) under Mus musculus (house mouse). RNAcentral describes it as "oocyte_clustered_small_RNA13015". Lineage: Eukaryota; Metazoa; Chordata; Mammalia; Rodentia; Muridae. The record is from RNAcentral.